CCACGCGGCUCUGAGUGGGGAAGAGCUCAGCCCCCUCCGGAGCCACGCGGCUGCCGCGCGGUGAACCGGGGUAAGCUGCCUGGGGUCUCUUUCUCAAUGUCUUGGUUAUGAUGGAUGGUGACCUGUGGAUCCUCCCUCUAGACAAGAUAGGGCCCUGGAUUUGACAGCAAGAAUAACAUUAUCAUGGAUACAGUUUGUACCAGAUAAACAAGUUGAUACCAGACAUUCCAGUGGAAAUGUGAGAGAGAAGAGGAGUCUACAACAAUCCUGAAAGGAAUUAGAACAUGACCUGGAGGCAUUACCUGCAACUGGAAACCCAAAUGAUUUUUGAGACCAAAGUUUGGAGAUAUUCUUGAAAAGAAGAUGGUAAUGCAUAAAGGAAUUCUCUCUCAUGAACUGACGAGCAACAAAUCAACAUUAGCACAGGAAUAUCA
Long non-coding RNA from Mauremys mutica (yellowpond turtle), 434 nucleotides. RefSeq lists it as uncharacterized. Lineage: Eukaryota; Metazoa; Chordata; Testudines; Geoemydidae. The record is from RefSeq and is a predicted model, not a curated record. The transcript is spliced from 5 exons.